AUACGAAGGGUGCAAGCGUUAAUCGGAAUUACUGGGCGUAAAGCGCGCGUAGGUGGUUCGUUAAGUUGGAUGUGAAAGCCCCGGGCUCAACCUGGGAACUGCAUCCAAAACUGGCGAGCUAGAGUAUAGCAGAGGGUGGUGGAAUUUCCUGUGUAGCGGUGAAAUGCGUAGAUAUAGGAAGGAACACCAGUGGCGAAGGCGACCACCGGGGCUAAUACUGACACUGAGGUGCGAAAGGGUGGGGAGCAAACAGGAUAAGAUACCCUGGUAGUCCACGCCGUAAACGAUGUCGACUAGCCGUUGGGAUCCUUGAGAUCUUAGUGGCGCAGCUAACGCAUUAAGUCGACCGCCUGGGGAGUACGGCCGCAAGGUUAAAACUCAAAUGAAUUGACGGGG
This 396-nucleotide ribosomal RNA is filed under the name uncultured bacterium. RNAcentral's name for it is "partial 16S ribosomal RNA". It matches the Rfam family "Bacterial small subunit ribosomal RNA", at positions 523 to 918 of the family's 1533-position model. The record is from RNAcentral.